Molecule: ribosomal RNA, 497 nt
Filed under: uncultured bacterium
Lineage: Bacteria
Description: partial 16S ribosomal RNA
Rfam family: Bacterial small subunit ribosomal RNA
Source: RNAcentral
GAUGAACGCUGGCGGCGUGCCUAAUACAUGCAAGUCGAGCGAACAGACGAGGAGCUUGCUCCUCUGACGUUAGCGGCGGACGGGUGAGUAACACGUGGAUAACCUACCUAUAAGACUGGGAUAACUUCGGGAAACCGGAGCUGAUACCGGAUAAUAUAUUGAACCGCAUGGUUCAAUAGUGAAAGACGGUUUUGCUGUCACUUAUAGAUGGAUCCGCGCCGCAUUAGCUAGUUGGUAAGGUAACGGCUUGCCAAGGCGACGAUGCGUAGCCGACCUGAGAGGGUGAUCGGCCACACUGGAACUGAGACACGGUCCAGACUCCUACGGGAGGCAGCAGUAGGGAAUCUUCCGCAAUGGGCGAAAGCCUGACGGAGCAACGCCGCGUGAGUGAUGAAGGUCUUCGGAUCGUAAAACUCUGUUAUUAGGGAAGAACAAAUGUGUAAGUAACUAUGCACGUCUUGACGGUACCUAAUCAGAAAGCCACGGCUAACUACGUG